AUUGAACGCUGGCGGCAGGCCUAACACAUGCAAGUCGAACGAGUGGCGGACGGGUGAGUAAUGUCUGGGAAACUGCCUGAUGGAGGGGGAUAACUACUGGAAACGGUAGCUAAUACCGCAUACCAUCGGAUGUGCCCAGAUGGGAUUAGCUAGUAGGUGGGGUAACGGCUCACCUAGGCGACGAUCCCUAGCUGGUCUGAGAGGAGUACCAUGCAAACUUGAACUGGGACAAGGUCCAGACUCCUAUGGGAGGCAGCAGGGGGGAAUAUUGCACAAUGGGCGCAAGCCUGGUGCAGCCAUGCCGCGUGUAUGAAGAAGGCCUUCGGGGUGUAAAGUACUUUCAGCGGGGAGGCGUUACCCGCAGAAGAAGCACCGGCUAACUCCGUGCCAGGAGGCGCGGUAAUAC
This 406-nucleotide ribosomal RNA is filed under the name uncultured bacterium. RNAcentral describes it as "partial 16S ribosomal RNA". It matches the Rfam family "Bacterial small subunit ribosomal RNA", at positions 30 to 526 of the family's 1533-position model. The record is from RNAcentral.